This 301-nucleotide ribosomal RNA is filed under the name uncultured bacterium. Its description in RNAcentral is "partial 16S ribosomal RNA". It matches the Rfam family "Bacterial small subunit ribosomal RNA", at positions 509 to 807 of the family's 1533-position model. The record is from RNAcentral.
CAGUAGCCACGGUAAAACGUAGGUGGCAAGCGUUGUCCGGAAUUAUUGGGCGUAAAGGGCUCGCAGGCGGUUUCUUAAGUCUGAUGUGAAAGCCCCCGGCUCAACCGGGGAGGGUCAUUGGAAACUGGGAAACUUGAGUGCAGAAGAGGAGAGUGGAAUUCCACGUGUAGCGGUGAAAUGCGUAGAGAUGUGGAGGAACGCCAGUGGCGAAGGCGACUCUCUGGUCUGUAACUGACGCUGAGGAGCGAAAGCGUGGGGAGCGAACAGGAUUAGAGACCCCUGUAGUCCCUGUCUCUUAUAC